CUUGGUCAUUUAGAGGAAGUAAAAGUCGUAACAAGGUUUUCCUUCCAGUUAAAGCUAUUAACUUAUUGAAGCCUGACGUGGGCGACUAUAAAUAUAACCAUGAAGUUCGGUCUUUAACAGACUGGACAACACCGCUGAAAUGCUGUGAUCAACUAUUGUUGUACCAGCAGCCCUCUUAUAGGGCCCACAGAUCAAGCCGCGGUGAUCCUACCUAGAGUAUUUAAGUAGGACUAUAAUAUGACCGGUCUCACCUGAGAUGGUUGAGAGAACACGUUCCGUAGGUGAACCUGCGGAAGGAUCAUUACCGAGUUAGGGUCUUAUAGGCCCGACCUCCAACCCUUUGUUUACUACACCAUGUUGCUUUGGCGGGCCCGCCUUUUGGGGCCGCCGGGGGUUUACAAGCCCCUGGUCAGUGUCCGCCAGUAGCCUUAUUAAAUUCUUUUAUAAUUAUGUUGUCUGAGUAUAAAUAUAAAUCGUUAAAACUUUCAACAACGGAUCUCUUGGUUCUGGCAUCGAUGAAGAACGCAGCGAAAUGCGAUAAGUAAUGCGAAUUGCAGAAUUCAGUGAGUCAUCGAAUCUUUGAACGCAUAUUGCGCCCUUUGGUAUUCCGAAGGGCAUGCCUGUUCGAGCGUCAUUAUCAACCAUCAAGCCUGGCUUGUCGUUGGACCCUUUUUACCGCUGAAAUAUGUGGUAGGUCCGAAAGAUAAUGACGGCGUCGUGUUUGACCCUAGAUGCAACGAGCUUUUUAUAGCACGCAUUGAAGUGGUCGGCCGACCCGGUCUUUAACCAUCAUUUUCUAAGGUUGACCUCGGAUCAGGUAGGAAUACCCGCUGAACUUAAGCAUAUCAAUAAGCGGAGGA
This 860-nucleotide ribosomal RNA is filed under the name uncultured Ascomycota. RNAcentral's name for it is "eukaryotic LSU rRNA". The stretch from base 481 to 634 matches the Rfam family "5.8S ribosomal RNA". The record is from RNAcentral. Lineage: Eukaryota; Fungi; Ascomycota.